Molecule: unclassified non-coding RNA, 887 nt
Filed under: Hevea brasiliensis (rubber tree)
Lineage: Eukaryota; Viridiplantae; Streptophyta; Magnoliopsida; Malpighiales; Euphorbiaceae
Source: RNAcentral
GAAUUCCUAAAUAAUAGAACUCUAUACUUCCUAAUUUCACAAUGAAAAGUUAAAUCAACAUAAUUCCUAUAUUGAAUCCUUCCUUGACUGCAUAAGCCUAUCUGACCAUCCAUAGUCAGCACAAAGUCACUACCUAUCUAUGAUCAGAUCAAAAGAAUAUAUUUCCCAAUUCAUUAACCACAUCUUCCUGACAUAGAUAAGUUGCCAAUGGUCCCCUCAUACUAAGAGGGUGUUUGUUUUAGCUUAUAAGCUGGUCAAAUCAGUUUAUAAGCUCUAAAAAUAAGUUUACAUAUAUGUUUACAACAUUUUUUGGACUUAUAAGUUGAACUUAUAAGUAAAAAAAGACCGACUUUUCAUUUUGAUAUGCUUAUAAGUCAUGUGCUUAUAAACUAGUUUGACCAAAUAUUUUACUAUAUUAUCCUCUUUCAAUUUUUAAAAUUUCACCACAUAUUUCAUUUAAUAUUCUUUUUAGUAAUUUUAAAAAUAAAUGUGAAUAUAAAAUAUUUUUUACCAAAUGUAUUAUCUACUUAUCAGCCAGACAGCCACUUAUAAAAAUUUUAACCAAAAACAUAGUUGUUUAAAAUUUGAAAUACUUAAAAGCUUGUAUUAAGCUAAUUUUUUAUAAGUUAAGCCAAACAUCCUAUGACAUCCCAAAUAAUGAACAAAAAGUGACAAGAAUUUAAGUUAUAAGCAAGUAAUCCUAAAAAUACAAAUCCUUACCAUUUAUAAGUAGCAACUUUUGUAGCAAUAGAACAAGUAACAAAUUCCAAUAAUCAGCUAAUAAGGCAUCACAUAGAUAAGUUGCCUAAAGUCCCCUCAUGCUAAAUGACAUCCAAAUAAUGGACAAAUGUAAAGAGAAUUUAAGUUAUUGGCAAGUGAUCAAAAAA